Long non-coding RNA from Pan troglodytes (chimpanzee), 3952 nucleotides. RefSeq lists it as uncharacterized. The transcript has 8 exons. Lineage: Eukaryota; Metazoa; Chordata; Mammalia; Primates; Hominidae. The record is from RefSeq and is a predicted model, not a curated record.
GGUCUUGUUGUCUUGUGGGUGGCAGAGGUGGAAAAGAAUCCAUGUAUAGGUGGACCCACAUAGUUCAAACCCAUGUUGUUCAAGGGUCAACUGUAUAUAUAAUAUGCUGCACACAUGCAUGCACACAUAUAUACACUUCCUUAGAAGUUCAUAGAGCAUCUCUGAAAGACUAUCAGAGGAACUGCUGACAGUAGUUAUAGGCUGGGCACAGUGGCUCACAGGUGUAAUCCCAGCACUUCGGGAGGCCGAAGUGGGUAGAUCACUUGAGCCCAGGAGUUCAAGACCAGCCUGGGCAACAUGGUGAAAUCCUGUCUCUACAAAAAUAUACAAAAAAUUAGCUGGGCAUAGUGGUGCACACCUGUACUCCCAACUAUGCAGGAGGCUGACCUGGGAGGAUUGCUUGAGUCCAGGAAGUUGAGGCUGCAGUGAGCCAUGAUCACACCACUGCACUCCAGCCUAGGCAACAGAGUGAAACUCGUCUCAAAAACCAAAACCAAAACAAAACAAAAAGCACAGUGGUCAUAUCUGAGGAGCACAGUGGUCAUAUCUGAGGAGAGGAACUGGGACUUGGAGUACAAGAAUAGGAAGUAAACUCUUCUCUGGGAGCUUUUGUGUUCUAUAUUAUAGUUUAUAUUUAUUUUUCCCAUGUGCAUUUUAAAACCAUUACGUUAAAAUACAAAAAGUGCGAGGACAGUAGUGUAUUAGAAGGCAUACUAUACUGGUGGUCAGUUGACCUGAGCUGUAGUUUGUUUUUGUUACAAAGUCCCGUGAUCUUUCCAGAACUCAGUGUCCUCUUCUGUGAAAUGUGGACACUGACCUAGCUGGUCUCAAAGGCCUCUUUCAAUUUUAACAUUCCCCCAUUCCAUUGACUAACACAGAGAUACUUUUAUUGCAGAAGUGCUUCGGUCAGGCAGUAUCUUUGAAAAUAAUUUGGCCAAUGAAAGCCCUGGCAUUGGAUGAAAGUGCUAGCUGCUGGGAAUGCUACCCCUCCUUUUGGUUCUCUUUCAAGUCCUUCAGGUUCAAACAAUACAGAAGUGUAUAAAGUAAGAAUUGAAAGUCUCUUCGCUGCUCUAAUCUCACUCCUCAGAGGUGAUCACUGAUUAUCAUCCCAGAGCCCUGAAGCCCACACACAGCUUCUUCAGGAAAUGCUGACAACAUGGUAUACACAUGGCUUCCAUGUUUGUCGUGGUUCCAAAGUUUGCUUUUGAGUUUAAUUUCUUUCUUUCUUUCUUUCUUUCCUUUAUCGGCUAAACUCCCCCCAUAGGACCUGAGUGAGCAGAAGGCUUUUCAGAACAGCCUGAACUAUUUCUUGAGCAGUUUGGGAACUCAUUUCUAAAGCAGUCCUCGGAUUCACACAACAUAGUUUGUGACGGAGUAUGCCCAGAGCAGGUUAAGAGAUUGCAGAUUGCUUCUGUGGACUUAUUGAAGGUGGACCUGGCUGUUGGUGGAGAUCCCUAGACUGCAUGGGGCCAUGGGCAUGAUCUGGAGACACAGUAGGUCAUCCUCAGAAUUUACACUCUCUCUCCUUUUGUGCCCCCAUGGACCAAGUUAAGAAGGUGUAGGCUUCAAAUCUGAAGAUUGGUCACCACAAAAUUCAAAGGGAAAACCUUUUAGGCCAAAGACCAUUGGAAGUGGCCCCGGUUCCUCCAUGUUUAACUCACUGGCCCCUAAUUUCUGCUGGACCUUCAUUUCAGUCGACUGUGUUUCAGGAGAUUCAGGCCACAACACCCCUGAGUUUACCGGUUUUGGUCUCUUCCUUGUGACCUUCGGCUCCAGGAUGCAGCACAGCUCCUCACUGCACUAUUUAUCAGAAUGUUGCUCUGCAUGCUUGAAAGUUUCCCCAAACAGAGGUACAUAAAAACAAACAGAGGCGAAACACAAAUCCCAUCAGCCCUGGAGGAAAAGGCCUUGAAGCUCUUCCAGUGCAGAGGCCACACAGAGGACAGGCUCCUACCUGUGCACAUCAGCCACGCCUGGGGCGCCUCCUGGAGUCCAGGCUGCUGGCAAUGGAAUUCAUCAUGUUGCUGAUGUCACUGUAAGUUAAGUCGCAGCUGCCAGCUGAGCUAUGGGAUAGUUUGAGGGAUGGCCAGAAGGUUUCUCCUGGAUGCCAUCUUCAGCAUACCUAGGAACCAGAGAAAAUGCAAUUCUUCACAUGCCCAUCUCACUCCUGCAGCCUGGGGUCCCUCUUCAGUUUAUUUUUUUCUUUUUUCUUUUUUUUUUAUCAUAAGCACAUAGUCAGGCUCUGGGACAUCAUGGAACCCAGAAGCAUGCUGAAAGGUGAAGCACAAGUCUAAAGUCCUGUUAGUUAUGAAAUCCAGCUCUCCUGGAUUAGGCAAGGGGAAAACCACAUCUUUAAGAUAUACUAGGGCAAGAAGUAAAGUAUAGAGAGCUGGCUCAAUGAAAUUUUGUGUAUAAUAGGAGCCGUCCUAUGACUAAUUGUCACCUGUCUCAGAGACCUCAUGAUUAUUUCUGAGCUUUAACCAAUGAAUAAAUGUGGGUUCUAUCUGGCUCUUCUAAUGUCUUUGGAAUGGUUCCUCAGGGAACCACAGCUAUCCGUAGAGAUAACAACCUGAAUACAAGCCCAUCGCCCGAUCAGAUGCUGCUCUUACUUGCAUGACUUGGUUCUAUUCUUGCCCAGUCCCACUGGGAUAGCAGCGGUAGCUAAACAGCUAAGCAGAGUGACCUCAUUAGAUUCUCCUCUAGUAUAAAGUCACAUGUUAACUCAUUUUUGGACUCAUAGUCAGAAACUUGUAAUUUUUCCUCAUUUUGGUAUGCAGCUAUUGCACAGUGGGGAAAAUAUGAGUCAAAAGACUUGCUCUUAUAUUCCAUCUUCCCCCUCAUUGCCUGGGUGUCUUUGAACCAGUUAAUCUUUGAGCCUCAGUUAUCUAGAAAAUGGGGACACUGCUACUUUAUAUUUUUUUUUUAGUGGGACCUAGAUAAGGUAAUAUAAAUAAAGGGGCUUUGUUUAUAUAUUGAAUGGCAUGAUGUUACGAUUACUAAAAGGAAAUAGCUAUUCUACUUACAUUACAAUGUGGUUUGAGGAUCAAAUUCAAUAAAAUAUGUGAAGAGGGCUUUGAAAAGUAGAAAGAGCUAAGCAAUGCAAAAUGCGUCGCUGCACUUGAAUGUAAUGGCUGGUGUCAUGUCAGCUGGAUUAACUGUGGUCACUAGUUCUCAUAUACCCAUUUGCUAGAGUAGCUGAGUCCUCUGGUCUACGAAAAAGGGCACAGAAGCUACAGAUACGAGAUCUGGUACUAUCUUUAUCACUACCUUUUUAUUGUGAGCACCUCAAUCAUUUUGAGAUAUUUGUCUCAUUUCUUUUACUUUGAAUAUGCGAAAACAACAGUCACCUCCUAAUAUGGCUGUUGGGAAAACACAACUGAAAUGGAUUCAGAAAAUAGCUUUUAAGGACAAAGUUAUGUGAAGGACAUAAAUUGUGCAUGAACUCCUUCAGUAAUGAAUAGGCACAUCUCCACAUACCCCAGGAUCUUAAGCUGAUAAUGUAACAAGAACCUAUUGAAUCAGGACAAGGUGAUGGUUCUGCUCCUGUGGCAAUCUAGGUCUCAGAAUCUGGUAUGCAGGCAGGGUGUAGAGAGCAGAUUGCAUUUUCAGGAGAAAGGUUAAGCUUGAAUGUUUUGGACAGGAGGUGGUUAGAUGCAUUUUUUAAAAGUCCUUGAAUUUACCUGAUGAUUUUUGUGUCCUUGUGAUGGUUGUAGCCCAUUCCAGGAUACGAAUAAAUUUAGCAACACAAAGAAGUUCAUUUAAAAAUCUUUCCCUCAGAUGCUCCACUUCCUCUUCCUUCUAGCUUUCUCCUCUUCUUCACUAAUUUGGCAACCUGUGAGGCUGCCCUUUUGAUCACUGGCAGUUUAGAAUAGUGAUAAGUGGUUUUGGAAAAUGUUAUUGAAACUUUUAUAGGAGAGUGGUGGAAAGAUGGAGAUUUCUAGAAAACCCUUAA